UAGAGAUUUUUAUCUCAGGCCUA
Molecule: non-coding RNA, 23 nt
Filed under: Arabidopsis thaliana (thale cress)
Lineage: Eukaryota; Viridiplantae; Streptophyta; Magnoliopsida; Brassicales; Brassicaceae
Source: RNAcentral